AUACGUAGGGGGCAAGCGUUAUCCGGAAUUACUGGGUGUAAAGGGAGAGUAGGCGGCAUGGUAAGUUAGAUGUGAAAGCCCGAGGCUUAACCUCGGGAUUGCAUUUAAAACUAUCAAGCUAGAGUACAGGAGAGGUAAGUGGAAUUCCUAGUGUAGCGGUGAAAUGCGUAGAUAUUAGGAAGAACACCAGUGGCGAAGGCGACUUACUGGACUGAAACUGACGCUGAGGCUCGAAAGCGUGGGGAGCGAACAGGAUUAGAUACCCUGGUAGUCCACGCCGUAAACGAUGAGUGCUAGGUGUCGGGGGGGAACCCUCGGUGCCGCAGCUAACGCAAUAAGCACUCCACCUGGGGAGUACGACCGCAAGGUUGAA
Molecule: ribosomal RNA, 373 nt
Filed under: uncultured bacterium
Lineage: Bacteria
Description: bacterial SSU rRNA
Rfam family: Bacterial small subunit ribosomal RNA
Source: RNAcentral